GACGAACGCUGGCGGCGUGCCUAAUACAUGCAAGUCGAGCGAACCCGGGGUGCUUGCACCCUGAGGGUUAGCGGCGGACGGGUGAGUAACACGUGGGGAACCUGCCUUGCUGUCUGGGAUAACACCGGGGAACCGGUGCUAAUACCGGAUGUCCCCUUUCCGGCACCUGCCGGAGAGGGAAAAGGCGGCUUUGAGCCGCCGCAGCAAGAGGGGCCCGCGGCGCAUUAGUUAGUUGGCAGGGUAACGGCCUCCCAAGGCGACGAUGCGUAGCCGACCUGAGAGGGUGAUCGGCCACACUGGGACUGAGACACGGCCCAGACUCCUACGGGAGGCAGCAGUAGGGAAUCAUCCGCAAUGGACGAAAGUCUGACGGUGCAGCGCCGCGUGAGUGAUGAAGGUUUUCGGAUCGUAAAGCUCUGUUGUGAGGGACGAAUAGGAUGGGGAGGAAAUGCCCGAUCUGUGACGGUACCUCACCAGAAAGCCCCGGCUAACUACGUGCCAGCCGCCGCAGUAA
Molecule: ribosomal RNA, 514 nt
Filed under: uncultured bacterium
Lineage: Bacteria
Description: partial 16S ribosomal RNA
Rfam family: Bacterial small subunit ribosomal RNA
Source: RNAcentral